UACGAAGGGGGCUAGCGUUGCUCGGAAUCACUGGGCGUAAAGCGCACGUAGGCGGACUCUUAAGUCAGGGGUGAAAUCCUGGAGCUCAACUCCAGAACUGCCUUUGAUACUGGGAGUCUUGAGUUCGGGAGAGGUGAGUGGAACUGCGAGUGUAGAGGUGAAAUUCGUAGAUAUUCGCAAGAACACCAGUGGCGAAGGCGGCUCACUGGCCCGAUAUUGACGCCGAGGUGCGAAAGCGUGGGGAGCAAACAGG
Molecule: ribosomal RNA, 253 nt
Filed under: uncultured bacterium
Lineage: Bacteria
Description: partial 16S ribosomal RNA
Rfam family: Bacterial small subunit ribosomal RNA
Source: RNAcentral